CAUCAUAUUUUCUAUUCCGUAAACAAAAUAAUUAUCUCUCCUCUGACUUACGCUGUCGUUUAAGAUAAGCAAACGAGAACAGUGAUAUCAGACCAGAGGGUCAAGAAAAUUGAGCAGGAGUUCAAUUUUGGGGGGUUUCAGAGAAAGGAAGGAUGUCGGGCGGGGGAGGAGAAGGGCAAAGAUACUGGUGCCACCUGUGCGAUACAAUGGUGACGCCCCUGCUAGGAGCAGGGGAGGAGGUUACCUGUGCACAGUGUCAUGGGGGUUUCGUGGAGGAAAUGGAAAGCCCUCAUCCGAUUCCCCCCCCACCCAGCGCCGCAGAAGGAGAGGCGACGCACAAUCUAAUAGGGGACGGACGCAUUGGCGACUUCUUCAGUCGGAUGAUGGAGCGCCACAUCGGUGCUGCAUUGGGCGGUCCUGAGGCGGCGACGGCAACAGGAGGCACUGGAUUCAAUCACAUGAUGUUGAUGCCAGGCGGCGGCAGUAUACAAAUUGUGUUCGAUCAUAGCGGCCGAGGAGGCGGAGGGGAAGGCGGAGGAGGAGGGAUUAGGUUUCCUGCUACAAUCGGCGACUAUUAUCUGGGCGGCGGGCUGGAGCAGCUCAUUCAGCAAUUGGCUGAGAACGAUCCAAAUCGCUACGGCACCCCGCCGGCAGCCAAGGCCGCGGUGCAAGACAUGCCGGUGAUCAAAAUUACGGAAGAGCAUCUUACUUCGGACGCCGGGCAGUGCGCCGUUUGUAAAGAUACUUUUGAAGAAGGAUCCGAGGCGCGGCAGAUGCCCUGUAAGCACAUAUAUCAUCCCGACUGCAUUUUACCCUGGCUCGAGUUGCACUCCACUUGUCCAGUAUGCCGCUACGAAAUGCCCCCUGAAGAAUCGUCAAACCCUAGCGAGGGCUCCAAUGCAAGACCUGUCGAUACAGCUGGUGGCGCUAGUGGCGUUGGCGGGCGGAGGUUCAUGUUUCAGUUUCCUUUACGCUCCCGCGAUGCAGCCCCCGGCGGGAGUAGCUCCGGCCAAGACAGUACGAUGCCACCGCGGAACGCUAAUGAUAAUGAUAAUAGUGGCGGGGAUCAGCCAAUGUCAGAGGCAAGGCAUGAAGACCUAGAUUGAUCAUGUGUUGUCAGCUUUUGACCGCAUGGAGAUUGUUUUUGAAGCAUGUUACCAGUGCAUAAAAAAAUUGGACAAGGGACUAUGGCAAAGGUCUUAGUAAGAUUGUUUAUUGUUUGACAGAGGGGUCGUAUGUAUGAAUUCUUCCUGGACAUCACUGAUGCUCAUGCGUAUGUGUCAUCAUAUUUAUCAGCCAUAUAUAAUGUUCUAAGGUAUUGUUUAGAUCGCAAGUUCUUCCUGCAACUGUUUUAUUAAUAAUGAGGUAGUUCCAGAUUUUUCAGGUUAUACAUAAAUGCUUUCAACCAUUUAGGACUGACGUAGUCAUUAAAAAUAAUUCUUUACUUCAAAAUGUGUAAAUAAGUGCAAGCUUCCUGGAGUUCUUAUCUUGAUGUGUUUUUAAUAAAUAUUCCUGCAAUAAAUAAUUUUCCAAGUUUUACUGCAAUUUCUUCCUGCAGCCGUAUUAUUAAGAAUGAGGCAAUAUCAAGGCUUUCAGAUAAUUAUUGGUUAUACAUAAAAUCUUGAUUCAACAAUUUGAGGCUGACAUAAUAGAAAUAUUUUAAAUAUUUUAUUGUGGUGCAAAUGUGAUUAGUUCUUUUUAUGAUGUGUUUUUACUAUUUUCUUUGAGUUUCAGACUAUUCUUUGGAAAGCUAAAGAGGUCAUGCAAAUUUCUUCUUCUGUUUUUUUAGAUAUUUUAGGUCUUUUUUUUCCCUUGGACCAGCAGUUGUCUUACGGCUUACCCACUGAACAUAUUUGAAGUUGUUGAACUUGCUGGUGUUUGGCUGGUGUUCUGCAUUUGUUUUUAUCUGAUGCAACAUAUGUGUUUUGUCAUCUGCUAUCUCUUGUUUGAGGACCAUCGUGAGAUGCAGACUUUCAGCCUUGCAGGGGUGCUCCAAAAAAAUGGACCUAAAAUUGGUGUGGGACAUUGAAUGAAUUGACUGGAAUCUAGUCCAAUUUAUGUACAACACUAUUGCACGAAGCAGAUUUACAGCCAAAAAAUUCAAAGACCUUUGAAGAUAAUUUGUGGGCCCACCAUUUCUAUUUUCACAAAUGAAGAGAUGACAUGACUAACUGAGUUCAAAGAAAGAAAGGAAGAUAUAGAGUGCCAAGCUGCCCUGCAAAAAAGAGAUCUCUUUAAUUUUGAAGAAGAAAAAAGAACUUUAUGUGCAGAUUGCCUGCUCUUUAGCUUACUAGCACAAUUUGACUAAAAUACUCACCACCUUUUUAAGCUUUUGAGGGUUUGUUUGCAUUGUAACAAAUUAUGGGUUGUAUCUGGAUCUCCCUCUUUGGUCAAUCUGUUGUCCUCGACCUCUAUUUUGAGAAUUCAAAGAAUUUAUUGUCAGAAUCUAUUGAGCUUGUGAAUAUCAGCCUGCUAUUACUAGUUUCU
RNA transcript from Cryptomeria japonica (Japanese cedar), 2487 nucleotides. It is a transcript of the gene named E3 ubiquitin-protein ligase RING1-like, with no coding region annotated. The transcript has 3 exons. Lineage: Eukaryota; Viridiplantae; Streptophyta; Pinopsida; Cupressales; Cupressaceae. The record is from RefSeq and is a predicted model, not a curated record.